CGAGAGUAAACAAAUCUGCCAUUCUGUACCCACGACUGCUCUUUCCCUCCCCCUCCGCCUCCGCCUCCGCCUUCCCUCCGACUUUUCCCUCGCCGAAAAACCAAUUCCAGGCUCCAGCAGCAGGCAACCUCCAAUUUUCCAUUAUAGUAUUGCCCCCGCUAGGGUUCCAGCCGCCUUCAUGGAAUCCGCGGCCGCCUGCAGAUCCUUCACCAGCCGCCUUUUAGGACCGCCUCGCCUCCCGCAGCCGGGAGUGCUUUGUCUUGGGCGCGUCUGGCCGCCUGCGCCGAGGGUUUGAGUUAUUGCAUGUGGUGGCACCAAGCAUGAGGCGACAACUGCAUUACUUGCAAGGAAGUUACAAACUAUGUAGGUUGGAUAUCAUAGUUCUGUGUCAAAUAUUGCGAAGCUGAAUCAAGAACGAAGUGGUGAAACCUGACCAUAAAUUCCUUUCGUACGACCAGAAUACACUAAGGGAUCAGUAAGAACUCCGGAACCUAAUCUAUGGGUCAUCAUAAGCGUGACUUUCUUGCAAGUUGUGCAGUUGCUGUCUCAAGCUUGCUGACUCCGUUUGCCAGACUGCAAUGUGAAAUAGGAAAUUUAGUCAGGAAAUGCCUAAAUGAUCCAAUAAAUGGUUGAAUUGGGCCACUUAUCUCUUCUUAAAUAUGUUGAAGGAUAUUGGGAACGUAUUCUUAAUUUUGAGAACUUGUUUCCAGAUGUAAAACUUUAAUCGGAUAUCUCUAUACUUAAAAGAGUACUAGUGGAUUAAGGAUACAAGAGUGCAUCCUAAGUUGCAAUGGUUGUAUCCACGGGAAGAACAAUUAUGUGUCUACCAGAACCUCCAAUUGAUGCACCAUGUGAAGUCAUGUUGACAUUUUCUUUUCUCUUUGGUAAGGUUAUGGAAUAAAUUUUGUUUCCCCUAGUAUUGUGUUAGUGGUGUAUAUAUUCACUAAACAAGGUUCUUCCAUACCUCUGUUUCCAUAUGCCGCUGCACCAUCAUCCACUGCCAUGUUGAGGUGGUGGAGAUUAGCAGGCAGCAGUCUUUGUGGCGUUGAUGGGGAGGUGUCUUCGCGGUGCUGAUUGGGAGGUUGAGACCUCGUGGAAUCCAUGUUCUCAGGCGGAGGCUAAGUUGGCGAUUUGCCACUGCAGUUGUGAAUCAGCAUAAGAGAUGGCACACUUCCGGUGUAGGUGCCGAGGGCCUCGCUAGAUCCAGAUGGAUUGUUGGAGCCGCAAUCUCGCUCGCCACUCUGCAGGGGUUGUUAAGGUUGAUGGCGAGCCUCUACAGGGUGAUGUAGUGCCAUUUUUUCUUUGAAAAAACUCAGACUUUAUUCAUCUGUAAUAAGUAAUAAGUGCAUCAUUUGUGAGGAGCAUUACAAUUUCAUUUAAAGGCUCCUCAAACCAAUCGGAAGUCAAAGAAAAUCUAGCUGGAAA
Non-coding RNA from Aegilops tauschii subsp. strangulata, 1425 nucleotides. NCBI's taxonomy places the organism in Eukaryota, Viridiplantae, Streptophyta, Magnoliopsida, Poales, Poaceae. The record is from RefSeq and is a predicted model, not a curated record.